CCUACGGGAGGCAGCAGUGGGGAAUAUUGGACAAUGGGGGGAACCCUGAUCCAGCCAUGCCGCGUGUGUGAAGAAGGCCCUCGGGUUGUAAAGCACUUUCAGCGAGGAAGAACGCCUAGCGGUUAAUACCCGCUAGGAAAGACAUCACUCGCAGAAGAAGCACCGGCUAACUCCGUGCCAGCAGCCGCGGUAAUACGGAGGGUGCAAGCGUUAAUCGGAAUUACUGGGCGUAAAGCGCGCGUAGGUGGCUUGAUAAGCCGGUUGUGAAAGCCCCGGGCUCAACCUGGGAACGGCAUCCGGAACUGUCAAGCUAGAGUGCAGGAGAGGAAGGUAGAAUUCCCGGUGUAGCGUUGAAAUGCGUAGAGAUCGGGAGGAAUACCAGUGGCGAAGGCGGCCUUCUGGACUGACACUGACACUGAGGUGCGAAAGCGUGGGUAGCAAACAGGAUUAGAUACCCUGGUAGUCCACGCCGUAAACGAUGUCGACCAGCCGUUGGGUGCCUAGCGCACUUUGUGGCGAAGUUAACGCGAUAAGUCGACCGCCUGGGGAGUACGGCCGCAAGGUUAAAACUCAAAUGAAUUGACGGA
Molecule: ribosomal RNA, 587 nt
Filed under: uncultured bacterium
Lineage: Bacteria
Description: bacterial SSU rRNA
Rfam family: Bacterial small subunit ribosomal RNA
Source: RNAcentral